RNAcentral lists this ribosomal RNA (499 nucleotides) under uncultured Chryseobacterium sp. RNAcentral's name for it is "bacterial SSU rRNA". It matches the Rfam family "Bacterial small subunit ribosomal RNA", at positions 8 to 507 of the family's 1533-position model. Lineage: Bacteria; Pseudomonadati; Bacteroidota; Flavobacteriia; Flavobacteriales; Weeksellaceae. The record is from RNAcentral.
AGAGUUUGAUCCUGGCUCAGGAUGAACGCUAGCGGGAGGCCUAACACAUGCAAGCCGAGCGGUAGAAGAUCUUCGGAUCUUUGAGAGCGGCGUACGGGUGCGGAACACGUGUGCAACCUGCCUUUAUCAGGGGGAUAGCCUUUCGAAAGGAAGAUUAAUACCCCAUAAUAUAAUGAGUGGCAUCACUUAUUAUUGAAAACUCCGGUGGAUAGAGAUGGGCACGCGCAAGAUUAGAUAGUUGGUAGGGUAACGGCCUACCAAGUCAGUGAUCUUUAGGGGGCCUGAGAGGGUGAUCCCCCACACUGGUACUGAGACACGGACCAGACUCCUACGGGAGGCAGCAGUGAGGAAUAUUGGACAAUGGGUGAGAGCCUGAUCCAGCCAUCCCGCGUGAAGGACGACGGCCCUAUGGGUUGUAAACUUCUUUUGUAUAGGGAUAAACCUUUCCACGUGUGGAAAGCUGAAGGUACUAUACGAAUAAGCACCGGCUAACUCCGUG